RNAcentral lists this ribosomal RNA (433 nucleotides) under uncultured bacterium. RNAcentral's name for it is "partial 16S ribosomal RNA". It matches the Rfam family "Bacterial small subunit ribosomal RNA", at positions 29 to 507 of the family's 1533-position model. The record is from RNAcentral.
AACGAACGCUGGCGGCAUGCCUAACACAUGCAAGUCGAACGAGACCUUCGGGUCUAGUGGCGCACGGGUGCGUAACGCGUGGGAACCUGCCCUUAGGUUCGGAAUAACUCCCCGAAAGGGGUGCUAAUACCGGAUAAUGUCUUCGGACCAAAGAUUUAUCGCCUUUGGAUGGGCCCGCGUUGGAUUAGCUAGUUGGUAGGGUAAAAGCCUACCAAGGCGACGAUCCAUAGCUGGUCUGAGAGGAUGAUCAGCCACACUGGGACUGAGACACGGCCCAGACUCCUACGAGAGGCAGCAGUGGGGAAUAUUGGACAAUGGGCGAGAGCCUGAUCCAGCAAUGCCGCGUGAGUGAUGAAGGCCUUAGGGUUGUAAAGCUCUUGUACCCGGGAUGAUAAUGACAGUACCGGGAGAAUAAGCUCCGGCUAACUCCGUG